Molecule: long non-coding RNA, 547 nt
Organism: Homo sapiens (human)
Lineage: Eukaryota; Metazoa; Chordata; Mammalia; Primates; Hominidae
Exons: 2
Source: RefSeq, a predicted model, not a curated record
GUGCUGAAUAUAGAUGUAGGAGUCAUCUGGGAACCGGUGCCUGAAGUCCUACGUGUCAAAGAGAGAGCCACAGGAAAGUGUACAGAGUCAGCAAAGUUGAGAACUAAGAUAGGAAUGCCAAUAUUUAUGUGAUGAGCAAAGAAGGAAGAGACCAUAAGCGAGAUCAAGAAGACUCUGGUCAAAAAGGUAAAAAGUGGAAUUUCCCCGAGGCCACACGAUGUGCGAUACUGCAACUAACUGAAGGCAGAAGCAGGUAAGAUAAUCUGACUGUCUUCUAUUAAGUCUGAUAUUAUAGAUUUACAAAAAUGCAAAACAAUGCUAUUCUUCUCAUUAAACUUGCUUCGUUUUCAAAAAUAUAGUUAAUUAAAAUGUUACUUAUGUUAAUAUGUAAUCGUUUCUUACUGUUACUUUUUAGCACAUUAUUUUGUAAAGUUUUGUUUGAAUUUUUAACAGGACAAAUAUAACCUAUAUAAAGAAAAGCUCUUUGGAGUUCUCAAUAAAUUUUUAAGAGUAUAGAGGGGUCCUGAAAUUAAAAGUUUGAGAACUU